RNAcentral lists this ribosomal RNA (466 nucleotides) under uncultured bacterium. RNAcentral describes it as "SSU rRNA". It matches the Rfam family "Bacterial small subunit ribosomal RNA", at positions 26 to 518 of the family's 1533-position model. The record is from RNAcentral.
AGAUUGAACGCUGGCGGAAUGCUUUACACAUGCAAGUCGAGCGGCAGCGCGGGGCAACCUGGCGGCGAGCGGCGAACGGGUGAGUAAUGCAUCGGAACAUGUCCAUUCGUGGGGGAUAGCCCGGCGAAAGCCGGAUUAAUACCGCAUACGCCCUGAGGGGGAAAGUGGGGGACCGCAAGGCCUCACGCGAAUGGGUUGGCCGAUGUCCGAUUAGCUAGUUGGUGGGUAAAGGCUUACCAAGGCGAUGAUCGGUAGCUGGUCUGAGAGGAUGAUCAGCCACACUGGGACUGAGACACGGCCCAGACUCCUACGGGAGGCAGCAGUGGGGAAUAUUGGACAAUGGGCGCAAGCCUGAUCCAGCCAUGCCGCGUGGGUGAUGAAGGCCCUAGGGUUGUAAAGCCCUUUCGGCGGGAAGAUAAUGACGGUACCGCAGAAGAAGCCCGGCUAACUUCGUGCCAGCAGCCGC